RNAcentral lists this small RNA (188 nucleotides) under Staphylococcus aureus. Its description in RNAcentral is "5'UTR". The record is from RNAcentral. Lineage: Bacteria; Bacillati; Bacillota; Bacilli; Caryophanales; Staphylococcaceae.
UAAUACCACUUUACCUGCAAUUACAACUGAUGUCAUUGCUUUCUCAGGAAUUUCCACGUCAGUGCUAAUAUUUAAGGCACUAGGAUUACAGAAUUUGAUUAAAUAAUCUUUGUUUUGUGAUAAAGUUGUUUCAAUUUCUUUAUCUUUAGCUUGAAUUAAAAUAGGUAUUUCUUUAGACAAUGGCGUAU